AAGCCUCAGAAUAUACUAAUUGAUGAUAAAUGCAAUGCUCGGAUAUCAGAUUUUGGAUUGUCAAAACUUUUGAUGAUGGAUCAGAGCCACACUCGCACUACCAUUAGGGGCACAAGAGGGUACAUUGCGCCAGAAUGGUUUAUGAGGACACCUAUCACUGUGAAAGUUGAUGUGUACAGCUUUGGUGUCACGUUGCUGGAAAUUGUUUAUUGUCGAAGAAGUGUUUAUACAGAAACUGAUGGUGAGGAGAUGAUUCUGAUUGAUUGGGC
Molecule: unclassified non-coding RNA, 269 nt
Filed under: Hevea brasiliensis (rubber tree)
Lineage: Eukaryota; Viridiplantae; Streptophyta; Magnoliopsida; Malpighiales; Euphorbiaceae
Source: RNAcentral